This 90-nucleotide transfer RNA is filed under the name Methylibium petroleiphilum PM1. Its description in RNAcentral is "tRNA-Ser". The record is from RNAcentral. Lineage: Bacteria; Pseudomonadati; Pseudomonadota; Betaproteobacteria; Burkholderiales; Sphaerotilaceae.
CCCUUGAAAUAGGCGGCGAAGGCACGGUCGAACUUGUCGAAGUGGGCCUCGUCCUUGACCAGCGUCGUGCGGGCCAGGAAGUAGAACUGC